RNAcentral lists this long non-coding RNA (691 nucleotides) under Olea europaea (common olive). RNAcentral's name for it is "long non-coding RNA (OEUR_LNC004145)". The record is from RNAcentral. Lineage: Eukaryota; Viridiplantae; Streptophyta; Magnoliopsida; Lamiales; Oleaceae.
UGGAUAUUUUAUGAUAUGCGUGCAGACACAAACACAGCUGGCAUAUAAAAAAAAUGGAAAAGAAAAAAGAAAAGAAAAGAAAAGAAUGUAGACAAACAGAAUAUACUCACGAAAUGAAUAAUCAGGAAUUUGAAAACGAAUCCAUAAAUUCAACCUUCAAUAAACGGUCAAGAUUCAUUAAAAAAAAUCAAUUUUUAAAUCAGAUAACGUAAUCAGUCAGAAAAAGUAAAUUUCAUGAUAAUGAUCAUUUUUUAUAUUUGAACUUGAUAUAGAUCUCCACGAAUACAUACCCAGAUCUUUGAAAAUUUUGAACUAUACAAAAAAAGGCACAUAAAAACAGAAAAGAUCCCAAGAAAAAAGAAACAGACAAUAAUAAUCAUUAUAAAGGAAUCAAUAAAACGAUAAAAUAGUAAUAUUCCGUAAAAAUUAGGCAUACCUCUUGAUCAAAAGGAUAGGAUCAAAUCUUGAAGAAAAGAAGAUUCUUAUGAAUAUGGUUGCGGGAUCUCGUCAAAAGAAAAAGGAGUGCAAAUCCUCGGUAAUCCUGCUCAUACGUAUAUUUUCACUCAUGGACAUAUUAUAUUAUAUAUUAUGGAAUAGAGCGUGGAUUAUGCAAAGAAAUAAUUAAAAUUAAUGAAAUUAUAAUUAAGAGGAUAAAGCUCCAACUAUAGAAAAAAAUUAACCAAAUGUGUAU